This 443-nucleotide ribosomal RNA is filed under the name uncultured bacterium. RNAcentral describes it as "bacterial SSU rRNA". It matches the Rfam family "Bacterial small subunit ribosomal RNA", at positions 338 to 795 of the family's 1533-position model. The record is from RNAcentral.
CCUACGGGUUGCACCAGUGGGGAAUAUUGGACAAUGGACCAAAAGUCUGAUCCAGCAAUUCUGUGUGCACGAUGAAGGUCUUCGGAUCGUAAAGUGCUUUCAGGUGGGAAGAAAAAAAUGACGGUACCACCAGAAGAAGCGACGGCUAAAUACGUGCCAGCAGCCGCGGUAAUACGUAUGUCGCAAGCGUUAUCCGGAAUUAUUGGGCGUAAAGCGCGUCUAGGCGGCCUUUUAAGUCUGAUGUGAAAAUGCGGGGCUCAACUCCGUAUUGCGUUGGAAACUGGAGGGCUAGAGAAUCAGAGAGGUGGGCGGAGCUACAAGUGUAGAGGUGAAAUUCGUAGAUAUUUGUAGGAAUGCCGAUUGGGAAGCCAGCUCACUGGAUGAAUACUGACGCUGAAGCGCGAAAGCGUGGGGAGCAAACGGGAUUAGAUACCCGAGUAGUC